This 1004-nucleotide ribosomal RNA is filed under the name Nocardioides sp. RNAcentral's name for it is "bacterial SSU rRNA". It matches the Rfam family "Bacterial small subunit ribosomal RNA", at positions 256 to 1286 of the family's 1533-position model. The record is from RNAcentral. Lineage: Bacteria; Bacillati; Actinomycetota; Actinomycetes; Propionibacteriales; Nocardioidaceae.
GGUAAUGCCUACCAGGUUUGACGGUAGCCGCCUGAGAGGUGACCGGCACACUGGGACUAGACACGGCCCAGAUUCCUACGGGAGGCAGCAGUGGGAAUAUGGACAAUGGGCGAAGCCUGAUCCAGCAACGCCGCGUGAGGGAUGACGGCCUUCGGGUUGUAAACCUCUUUCAGUACCGACGAAGCGAAAGUGACGGUAGGUACAGAAGAAGCACCGGCCAACUACGUGCCAGCAGCCGCGGUAAUACGUAGGGUGCGAGCGUUGUCCGGAAUUAUUGGGCGUAAAGGGCUCGUAGGCGGUUUGUCGCGUCGGGAGUGAAAACACUGGGCUUAACUCAGUGCUUGCUUCCGAUACGGGCAGACUAGAGGUAUGCAGGGGAGAACGGAAUUCCUGGUGUAGCGGUGAAAUGCGCAGAUAUCAGGAGGAACACCGGUGGCGAAGGCGGUUCUCUGGGCAUUACCUGACGCUGAGGAGCGAAAGUGUGGGGAGCGAACAGGAUUAGAUACCCUGGUAGUCCACACCGUAAACGUUGGGCGCUAGGUGUGGGGUCCAUUCCACGGAUUCCGUGCCGCAGCUAACGCAUUAAGCGCCCCGCCUGGGGAGUACGGCCGCAAGGCUAAAACUCAAAGGAAUUGACGGGGGCCCGCACAAGCGGCGGAGCAUGCGGAUUAAUUCGAUGCAACGCGAAGAACCUUACCUGGGUUUGACAUACACCGGAAAGCCUCAGAGAUGAGGCCCCUUUUGUCGGUGUACAGGUGGUGCAUGGCUGUCGUCAGCUCGUGUCGUGAGAUGUUGGGUUAAGUCCCGCAACGAGCGCAACCCUCGUCCUAUGUUGCCAGCACGUUAUGGUGGGGACUCAUAGGAGACUGCCGGGGUCAACUCGGAGGAAGGUGGGGAUGACGUCAAGUCAUCAUGCCCCUUAUGUCCAGGGCUUCACGCAUGCUACAAUGGCCGGUACAAAGGGCUGCGAUGCUGUAAGGCGGAGCGAAUCCCAAAAAGCCGGU